AGUGAACGCUGGCGGUAGGCCUAACACAUGCAAGUCGAACGGCAGCACAGUAAGAGCUUGCUCUUACGGGUGGCGAGUGGCGGACGGGUGAGGAAUACAUCGGAAUCUACUUUUUCGUGGGGGAUAACGUAGGGAAACUUACGCUAAUACCGCAUACGACCUACGGGUGAAAGCAGGGGAUCUUCGGACCUUGCGCGAUUGAAUGAGCCGAUGUCGGAUUAGCUAGUUGGCGGGGUAAGGGCCCACCAAGGCGACGAUCCGUAGCUGGUCUGAGAGGAUGAUCAGCCACACUGGAACUGAGACACGGUCCAGACUCCUACGGGAGGCAGCAGUGGGGAAUAUUGGACAAUGGGCGAAAGCCUGAUCCAGCCAUGCCGCGUGGGUGAAGAAGGCCUUCGGGUUGUAAAGCCCUUUUGUUGGGAAAGAAAAGCAGCAGGUUAAUACCCCGCUGUUCUGACGGUACCCAAAGAAUAAGCACCGGCUAACUUCGUG
Molecule: ribosomal RNA, 492 nt
Filed under: uncultured bacterium
Lineage: Bacteria
Description: partial 16S ribosomal RNA
Rfam family: Bacterial small subunit ribosomal RNA
Source: RNAcentral